AAUAAAGUGCCUGAUAAAAGGACUACUUUGAUAGAGUAGAACAUGCGAUAUAAUCGCCUUUAUUA
Non-coding RNA from Cimex lectularius (bed bug), 65 nucleotides. Lineage: Eukaryota; Metazoa; Arthropoda; Insecta; Hemiptera; Cimicidae. The record is from the annotation of a RefSeq genome assembly.